This 579-nucleotide ribosomal RNA is filed under the name Manningis arabicum. RNAcentral describes it as "partial large subunit ribosomal RNA". It matches the Rfam family "Bacterial large subunit ribosomal RNA", at positions 1836 to 2624 of the family's 2925-position model. The record is from RNAcentral. Lineage: Eukaryota; Metazoa; Arthropoda; Malacostraca; Decapoda; Camptandriidae.
GAGGAAUGGGAGGCCAGUAUGGCCUGCCCGCUGAUAAUUAUUGAAGGGCUGCGGUAUUUUGACCGUGCAAAGGUAGCGUAAUAGUUAGUUUUUUAAUUGAAAUCUUGUAUGAAUGGUCGGACAAAGGAAAGAUUGUCUCUGUAUUUAAGAGUUUAAAUUAACUUUUAAGUGAAAAGGCUUAAAUCUAUUAAGAAGACGAUAAGACCCUAUAAAACUUAAUAUAAACAACUAUUUAACAAAGUUUUAUAAAAUAUAAAGGUUCAGUAUAAAGUUUAUAUUAUAUUGGGGAGAUAAAAACAAAAUGUUUGUUAACUGUUUAAAAUUUAGGCAAAUGUAAGUGAUUGGUAUAAAUAAAUGAUCCUAACUAGAGAUUAAAAGUUUAAGUUACUUUAGGGAUAACAGCGUUAUUUUUCUUGAGAGUUCUUAUCGAAAGAAAAGUUUGCGACCUCGAUGUUGAAUUAAAAUACCUAUAUAAUUGCAGCAGUUAUAUUAGUAGGUCUGUUCGACCUUUAAAAUUUUACGUGAUCUAGUCCCAAAACGGGGUAAUUAAAAAUUUACAGGCGAGAGGCGGACCGCAAA